RNAcentral lists this ribosomal RNA (980 nucleotides) under Halolamina pelagica. RNAcentral's name for it is "bacterial SSU rRNA". It matches the Rfam family "Archaeal small subunit ribosomal RNA", at positions 1 to 980 of the family's 1478-position model. Lineage: Archaea; Methanobacteriati; Methanobacteriota; Halobacteria; Halobacteriales; Haloferacaceae. The record is from RNAcentral.
AUUCCGGUUGAUCCUGCCGGAGGUCAUUGCUAUCGGGGUCCGAUUUAGCCAUGCUAGUCGCGCGGGUUAGACCCGCGGCGUAUAGCUCAGUAACACGUGGCCAAACUACCCUACAGACGAGAACAACCUCGGGAAACUGAGGCUAACACUCGAUACGCGUUGACCGUUUGAACACGUCGACGCUCAAACGCUCCGGCGCUGUAGGAUGUGGCUGCGGCCGAUUAGGUAGACGGUGGGGUAACGGCCCACCGUGCCGAUAAUCGGUACGGGUUGUGAGAGCAAGAGCCCGGAGACGGAAUCUGAGACAAGAUUCCGGGCCCUACGGGGCGCAGCAGGCGCGAAACCUUUACACUGCACGCCAGUGCGAUAAGGGGACCCCGAGUGAAAGGGCAUAUCGCCCUUUCUUUUCUGAACCGUAGGGAGGUUCAGGAACAAGAGCUGGGCAAGACCGGUGCCAGCCGCCGCGCUAAUACCGGCAGCUCGAGUGAUGACCGAUUUUAUUGGGCCUAAAGCGUCCGUAGCUGGCCGCGCAAGUCCGUCGGGAAAUCCACCCGCUUAACGGGUGGGCGUCCGGCGGAAACUGUGCGGCUUGGGACAGGAAGGCUCGAGGGGUACGUUCGGGGUAGGAGUGAAAUCCCGUAAUCCUGAACGGACCACCGAUGGCGAAAGCACCUCGAGAGGACUGAUCCGACAGUGAGGGACGAAAGCUGGGGUCUCGAACCGGAUUAGAUACCCGGGUAGUCCCAGCCGUAAACGAUGUUCGCUAGGUGUGACACUCACUACGAGUGAGUGUUGUGCCGCAGGGAAGCCGCUAAGCGAACCGCCUGGGAAGUACGUCCGCAAGGAUGAAACUUAAAGGAAUUGGCGGGGGAGCACUACAACCGGAGGAGCCUGCGGUUUAAUUGGACUCAACGCCGGUAACCUUACCAGCCCCGACUACGGUGAUGACGGUCAGGUUGAUGACCUCACCACGAUGCCGU